AAAACAACAAAUUCAUAUUUUUGCUCUUUUAUAGCUCAAAAUUUUCCUGUAAUUUCAGCCUAUUGGGUUCUUCUUUAACAGGAAAGUCAAAGGUUACUAUUUCUUGAUGUCUACUGUGGGCAAUCCGGCAAACAUAUUCUGGCAUGAAAAUCCAGUUGGGAAGGCGGAAAGGGAAAAGCUGCUUAACCAACAGGGAUGUGUUGUAUGGAUCACGGGUCUCAGUGGAUCAGGAAAAAGCACACUUGCAUGUUCCCUAGGUAGAGAGUUGCAGUCAAAGGGUAAGCUUUCAUACGUUCUUGAUGGUGACAACCUUCGGCAUGGUCUGAACAAGAAUCUUGGGUUCUCACCAGAAAGCCGAACUGAGAAUAUACGUAGGACUGGG
This 382-nucleotide unclassified non-coding RNA is filed under the name Hevea brasiliensis (rubber tree). The record is from RNAcentral. Lineage: Eukaryota; Viridiplantae; Streptophyta; Magnoliopsida; Malpighiales; Euphorbiaceae.